Molecule: non-coding RNA, 48 nt
Filed under: Schistosoma curassoni
Lineage: Eukaryota; Metazoa; Platyhelminthes; Trematoda; Strigeidida; Schistosomatidae
Source: RNAcentral
AUCCAGUUGAUGAGUCCCAAAUAGGACGAAACGCCCGUCAAACUGGAU